AUUCCAGCUCCAAUAGCGUAUACUAAAGUUGUUGCAGUUAAAAAGCUCGUAGUUGAAUUUCUGGUCGUGGCGAUCGGUCCGCCCCUCACGGGGUGUGCACCUGGUCUCUACGUCCAUCCUCGGGGAGAGCAUGCCUGGCAUUCAGUUGUCGGGUAUGGGAUCCUCGUCAUUUACUGUGAGCAAAAUAGAGUGUUCAAAGCAGGCUUAGGCCGUUGAAUACAUUAGCAUGGAAUAAUAAGAUAGGACCUUGGUCUAUUUUGUUGGUUUGCAUUCCAAGGUAAUGAUUAAUAGGGAUAGUUGGGGGUAUUCGUAUUCAAUUGUCAGAGGUGAAAUUCUUGGAUUUAUGGAAGACGAACUACUGCGAAAGCAUUUACCAAGGAUGUUUUCAUCG
This 391-nucleotide ribosomal RNA is filed under the name Chrysophyceae sp. RNAcentral describes it as "partial small subunit ribosomal RNA". It matches the Rfam family "Eukaryotic small subunit ribosomal RNA", at positions 582 to 975 of the family's 1831-position model. Lineage: Eukaryota; Chrysophyceae. The record is from RNAcentral.